This is a long non-coding RNA of Canis lupus familiaris (dog), 785 nucleotides long. RefSeq lists it as uncharacterized. NCBI's taxonomy places the organism in Eukaryota, Metazoa, Chordata, Mammalia, Carnivora, Canidae. The transcript has 5 exons. The record is from RefSeq and is a predicted model, not a curated record.
GUUCUAUCUUCAUCUCUUUAAGCUGAAAAGACACAAGCAAAACUACCAAGCUGUGUGUGUGUGCGCGCACAUAGGUAGAGCUGACUCACAUGUCAGGAAGGAAGCUCAUCCUGAGACGUCAGAAGCUGAGGAUAAUCUAGUCCUACCCUUGCUGCUGGGAGGCAAAAAAGGAAUGGAGCCUUCAAGAGCUGAAUGAUAUGCUGUUGUGGAGGUAGACCAGAUGUGCCCACCCAUGCACAUUUCACGGACGUCUGGGCUGUUUGCACCUUUUGGCUACAGGGAAUACUGCUGUACUGACAUGGAAUUGCAUGUAUCCUUGAAAACACAAGGGCACCCACUUCUGCUGCUUUAAAAUCAAGAUUGCACUGGAGCUCCUGGUAAUUGCAGGAAGAGAAGAGAAGUAAGAGCCACUUCUUUGGCGUCCCGGGGCUGCCAUAACAAAGCACCACAAACUUGGUGGUUUACAACAGCAGAAAUGCAUGUUCUCACAGCUCCAAAGUCCAGAAGCCUGAAAUUGAGGUGUCAGGAUGGCCAGGCUCCCUCUGAAUCAGAGAUUCCCCAUCUUACUCAUACCUGUGGCCACAGAAGGUGUGCCGACACAGAGGUGGCUCUCAGGGCUGUAGCACCCAUCAGCUGAAGUGACUUCCAAGGAAUCUAAAGACACUGAGACUGUUUAUUUGUUUCAAUUUAUUUGUUUUUGAGGCACCUGGGUGACUCAGUCUGUUAAGUGUCUGCCUUUGGCUCAGGUCAUGAUCUCAGGGUCUUGGGAUCCAGCCCCGCAUCAG